GUGUAGGUCCUGUUGUUGUCCAAUAGAGACAUAUCACCUGGAACCAUAAAUAUCUAGUGGUGAUACUGUUGAAACUUGAAACUGGAGCGAGUUAUUUGGUGUGGCUCAACAUGUCAUAGCAAUAUGGUGCCUAGAGCAGCUUAUCUUCUUAUGUCUUAUUACUUGGCACAAACCAAACUUUAUUAUAUUAAGUAUUCACGUUUCUAAAGACAAAUUGUUUCGUAUUCUGCUUCCGUGGGUUUCAUUGUAUAUGCUUGCCGUGUGUGUUAAAAAUUCAGUUAAAAAUAGAAAAUUUAGGCACAUGUCAUGUUUCGAAUCUCGCAACGUGCAAUUUGAAUUAUUGUCGUCCUUUUUAUCUCUUCUAGAUAUUCUUUUGUGGAAAUCUCUUCUAGAUUUUAGAUUCAUCAACAAGGGUAUCAUUUCCAACCUUCAAUGUCCUAGCAGGAGAUCACUUCCUUUUUUUGCGUAUGUCCUUCCUUAUCUUUUCCAUCCUUAAAUUAUAAGAUACGUAGCAGCGCGCACAUGUAUAUAGAAAUAUUGUCCUUCUUUAUUUCUCUUGUGAAGAGCCUCUGGUUCCUUCCUUAUUUAUCAUGAUCUCUGAGAGACUUUCUGAUACCCAGGAAAUUAAUGAUCUAUAUAAAUAAGAUAGAUUGGAUGUAAAUCAGCAAGGUGGGACUAUUCAAUAUCGGCCUCAACCUUCCCUUGUAGACACAGGACGUUAGCUUAGUUGGCCUUAAUUUUUGCCUCUUAACCGGGAUAGAUGGGCCUCAACUUUCCCUUGUACACACAGGACGUUAGCUUAGUUGGCCUUGAUUUUUGCCUCUUAACCGGGAUAGAUGGGCCGGAUUUUCUGGACCAUGACACAUGGGUUGGUUCGUUCUCUCGGCCUCACUUGCUGACGAAGGAAACUGACGUACGAAAUAGCGGACGGACGAAACGGACGAAAAUCAGGGCGUAAGAAGCAUUUCGUGCUUUAUUACUAGGUAAAGAUGUGUAGGUCUUGUUGUUGUCCAAUAGAGACAUAUCACCUGGAACCAUAAAUAUCUAGUGGUGAUACUGUUGAAACUUGAAACUGGAGCGAGUUAUUUGGUGUGGCUCAACAUGUCAUAGCAAUAUGGUGCCUAGAGCAGCUUAUCUUCUUAUGUCUUAUUAUUUGGCACAAACCAAACUUUAUUAUAUUAAGUAUGCACGUUUAUAAAGACAAAUUGUUUCGUAUUCUGCUUCCGUGGGAGU
Molecule: long non-coding RNA, 1233 nt
Filed under: Triticum aestivum (bread wheat)
Lineage: Eukaryota; Viridiplantae; Streptophyta; Magnoliopsida; Poales; Poaceae
Description: long non-coding RNA (TAES_LNC014711)
Source: RNAcentral